AAUGGUUCAGCUGUCUAGUCCAGCUCUGCACUCCUUGACUUUGGUAUUACCUGCUGGUCUUCUGAGAAAUCCUCCACACCAGCGGAGAGGAGACUGCAUCAUCUCAUGCUCCCAACUUUGCUGAGAGGAGAAACUAUCCACAACUGUAUCUGAGCAAAAAGAGAGAGACCUAUCCUACGCCAUCAGCCAGGAAAGAGUCCAUCCCACAUCCCUAGCCAGUCAGAGAGGAGACACUUCCCCUUUCCCUAGCAGGAAGGAUAUGGAAAAGAGAAGGUGAAUGGGCAGGUGCAGCCGUAAGUCCUCCCUUGCCAGAUUUUGUUUUAUACAGACAGUGGAAUUUGACAGGAAUGAGACGAGGAGAUUAACCAGGGGAAAGAGUGUGAUAUCUGAUGGAGGACAACACAGCAAUAGAAGAAACCCCGAGAGGAAAGGAUAUAAAUUGGGAUUGUCCGGUGGGCAAAGAACCUGAGAGUCAUCUAGUAAAUCUGGGGGUCCCCCUGGCGAACUCCCCACCAUUGGAAGAUGCCGCUCACGAUGUCCGGGUGGAUCGAGCAGCUGUGGCCAUUGAAGGAUCUGCCGAGAUGGACUGCCAGCUUGUUCUGGGAUCCUGGAAGUAAAAUAUCGCCUGUCACCUGAACCCCAGCUGGAGAUGAUUCUCAAAGAGGAGGAAAAGAUAUAAAAAUGAGGAUCAGAGGCCCCAAAUCACCUCUCACCCCUCAUCUCUACUCAUGGCAUCAACAAUGUUUGAAAGACAAAAGAAAUAUCAUUGAA
Long non-coding RNA from Mauremys mutica (yellowpond turtle), 771 nucleotides. RefSeq lists it as uncharacterized. The record is from RefSeq and is a predicted model, not a curated record. Lineage: Eukaryota; Metazoa; Chordata; Testudines; Geoemydidae. The transcript has 5 exons.